UAAUACGACUCACUAUAGGGCCGAAUUUGGGGCCCGACGUCGCAUGCUCCCGGCCCGCCAUGGCGGCCGCGGGAAUUCGAUUAGAGUUUGAUCAUGGCUCAGGAUGAACGCUAGCGGCAGGCUUAACACAUGCAAGUCGAGGGGUAACAGGGAUUGCUUGCAAUCCGCUGACGACCGGCGCACGGGUGCGUAACGCGUAUGCAACCUACCUUCUACAGGGGGAUAGUCAAUAGAAAUGUUGAAUAAUACCCCAUACGAUCAUUAAUCUGCAUGGAUUGAUGAAGAAAGUUCCGGCGGUAGAAGAUGGGCAUGCGUCCUAUUAGUUAGUUGGUAAGGUAACGGCUUACCAAGACAUCGAUAGGUAGGGGUCCUGAGAGGGAGAUCCCCCACACUGGUACUGAGACACGGACCAGACUCCUACGGGAGGCAGCAGUGAGGAAUAUUGGACAAUGGAGGCAACUCUGAUCCAGCCAUGCCGCGUGCAGGAAGACUGCCCUAUGGGUUGUAAACUGCUUUUAUACAGGAAGAAUAGUACCUACGUGUAGGUAUUUGACGGUACUGUACGAAUAAGGAUCGGCUAACUCCGUGCCAGCAGCCGCGGUAAUACGGAGGAUCCAAGCGUUAUCCGGAAUCAUUGGGUUUAAAGGGUCCGUAGGCGGUCUGAUAAGUCAGAGGUGAAAUCCUGCAGCUCAACUGUAGCAUUGCCUUUGAUACUGUUAGACUUGAGUUAUUGUGAAGUAGUUAGAAUGUGUGGUGUAGCGGUGAAAUGCAUAGAUAUCACACAGAAUACCGAUUGCGAAGGCAGAUUACUAACAAUAUACUGACGCUGAGGGACGAAAGCGUGGGUAGCGAACAGGAUUAGAUACCCUGGUAGUCCACGCCGUAAACGAUGGAUACUAGCUGUUCGAUCAACAUUGGUUGGUUGAGUGGCUAAGCGAAAGUGAUA
Molecule: ribosomal RNA, 946 nt
Filed under: uncultured Bacteroidota bacterium
Lineage: Bacteria; Pseudomonadati; Bacteroidota
Description: bacterial SSU rRNA
Rfam family: Bacterial small subunit ribosomal RNA
Source: RNAcentral